RNAcentral lists this ribosomal RNA (402 nucleotides) under uncultured bacterium. Its description in RNAcentral is "partial 16S ribosomal RNA". It matches the Rfam family "Bacterial small subunit ribosomal RNA", at positions 28 to 526 of the family's 1533-position model. The record is from RNAcentral.
GACGAACGCUGGCGGCGUGCCUAAUACAUGCAAGUCGAACGCAGUGGGGACGGGUGAGUAACACGUGGGUAACCUCCCAUCAGAGGGGAUAACACUUGGAAACAGGUGCUAAACCGAUACUGAUGGAUGGACCCGCGGUGCAUUAGCUAGUUGGUGAGGUAACGGCUCACCAAGGCCACGAUGCAUAGCCGACCUGAGAGGGUGAUCGGCCAGAGUGGGACGGAGACAAGGCCCAGACUCUUAGGGGAGGGAGCAGUAGGGAAUCUGCGGCAAGGGACGAAAGUCGGACCGAGCAAGGCGGGGUGAGUGAAGAAGGUAUAAGGUUCGUAAACCUCUGUUGUUAGAGAAGCGGUAUCUAACAAGAAAGCCACGGCUAACUACGUGCCAGCAGCCGGGUAAUAC